GAAUGUGAGGGUGAUCUGGCUGUGACAUUUGUCUAUAUGACCCCAUUGAUCACCAGGGUUGAUUCAGCGGAUCUGGCUGGUUCGGUGGGUGUUCCCUUCCUCCCUCACUACUCCAUGUGUGUCACUCCAGGAGCUGAGUGCUAGGUUGAAGAGGACAACCAUCAUCAAUAGAGGAGGAUUGGUCUUGAGUCAAGUAGCCGUACUCCCCUGCUAGAACCUUUAAACAAGCUCUCAAGAAAACGUAAUGCAGAUGGAGUGAAUUUGGCCAAAGUACAUUAUGUAUGUAUUGUAAAUAUCACAAUUAAUUGACUU
Molecule: unclassified non-coding RNA, 312 nt
Organism: Dipodomys ordii (Ord's kangaroo rat)
Lineage: Eukaryota; Metazoa; Chordata; Mammalia; Rodentia; Heteromyidae
Gene: 7SK
Rfam family: 7SK RNA
About the family: 7SK was discovered as an abundant small nuclear RNA in the mid-70s but a possible function has only recently been suggested. Two independent studies have found that 7SK RNA binds the CDK9/cyclin T complex (known as elongation factor P-TEFb).
Source: Ensembl